UCGAAAUAUAACGCAGCGGUAGCGUGUCUGCUUUGGGAGCAGAAAGUCAUGUGUUCGAAUCACAUUAUUUCGAU
This 74-nucleotide transfer RNA is filed under the name Fistulifera solaris. RNAcentral describes it as "tRNA-Pro". It matches the Rfam family "tRNA". From Rfam's summary of the family: Transfer RNA (tRNA) molecules are approximately 80 nucleotides in length. Their secondary structure includes four short double-helical elements and three loops (D, anti-codon, and T loops). The record is from RNAcentral. Lineage: Eukaryota; Bacillariophyta; Bacillariophyceae; Naviculales; Stauroneidaceae.